GGCGCACUAGUAAUAAAUAUUACAAUGUCUUGUCAAGACAAAAUUACAGGUCAAAGUCCUGUGUGCCUCA
This 70-nucleotide transfer RNA is filed under the name Oxymonacanthus longirostris (harlequin filefish). RNAcentral's name for it is "tRNA-Asp". Lineage: Eukaryota; Metazoa; Chordata; Actinopteri; Tetraodontiformes; Monacanthidae. The record is from RNAcentral.